Molecule: long non-coding RNA, 210 nt
Organism: Saccostrea cuccullata (small rock oyster)
Lineage: Eukaryota; Metazoa; Mollusca; Bivalvia; Ostreida; Ostreidae
Exons: 3
Source: RefSeq, a predicted model, not a curated record
GAUUUUGAAAAACCGGGCAGCAUUCUUGAGAGACAAAGAACAGGAUUUAGGGAAUAUUUUACAUCACCGUAUGCGGCUGUUUGCAAAGACUAAAUAUUACAUGUUAUGAGAGGAAUUGGACAUAAUGAAGUUUGCUACACACCAUCUUUGAGGGAUUUACCGGGGUAUUAAUUUUAAAGGAAUAAAACAAAGAAGUCCAAGUGCCAAACA